CUGUCUAACUGCGAACUUGUGUGACUCCCGGUUCAUCCUCUUUGUUCGGGUCACUGGGUUGGUGUUGGAGUUGGUCACCAUAUUCUGAACGUUUCACCUAUCGUUGCGGUGUACUGUUCUUGAUCUGCUGCGAAGCGACGAACCGCAACGGCAGUCACUCGCCUCAGCGAACUUCUGUCUGCUGCAUCUCAAAGGAGCAUGGGGACCUGAUGAUACCUUCAACUAAAAAAACCAAAUGUGCUCUCGUGUGGUCCUGACGGAAAAGUAGUAUCAACAAGAACCCUCCACUUUUUCGACCAAGUUAUCGUUAUGAGAUCCUUCUGAUGGCUUCUUACUAGGCUAUGCCGCUCCGAAGCAUUGAGAUGACGAAGCGUCGUGGUAGCUGCACCUCUGCCUUCGAAAGAUGAAUCAGUCAUUCCACACUGUGCUUACUGGCUUUGUAUAGAGUCUGGCAAAUCCGACAGACUUGGACUGCCUUUUUCAAGAAAGUUUGAAAUAGCAUCCCUUAUGCACCUGCAUUUCAAUUCCAAUCUGUAUUACAAGAAUGACAGACCACUCAACAGAGAUGAACAUCUGAAAGUGAAAGAGCUGGAAUGAAGAUACGUUAAUCUGUGUCAAAGGUUCUUAGUAUGUGUGCGAGUCGAGGACAUAGGUCUCAAGCUUAUUCCUGUCUCCAGAAGAGGUGACAACUAUGCUCCUUCUAUCUAUUAACCAGCUCCACUUUUUAGGGUUCCCUGUAAACUAAUGGAGCACAUCAUGUACUACCACGUUGUCAACCAAGUUGACUCUGUCAAUUUCUUUUUUUAAAUUCCAGCAUGGCUUUAGAAAAGGGUAUUCAGGCAAAACUAACGUAGUGGAAUUCGUUCACAGCAUUUCAAACUGUCUUGAUUUCUGGGUCCAUGUAGAUGUAGUAUUCUUUUUAUUUUGUAAGGGCUUUUGACACUGUGCUCUACGCUCGCGUGUUGGCCAAAGUAGCCUAAUUAAAAUUCGAUCCUGCUACCUGGAUAUGCAGUUUCUCAACUAACCGUAACUGUGGCGACAACUCGUGAGGAGAACCUAUCAUAUCGCCACUAUGCAGCAUUUGUUAUAUUACAAUCGCUUCACAUUUUAAUCUAGUCAAAAGCAAGGCCUUUUGGUGAUCGGUCUUGUAUAAUUACGUGCCCCUCCGUUAUGUAACACCACACUGGGUUCUUCAACCUAUGAGAGAGAAAUAAAUAUAUUGCCAAGUAAAUUGUCUACAAGCCAUUUCGCCACACUACCACAAGCAAUUGUUAGAGUAGUGGCCCAGGGUAUGAAGCUCGCCACUAAUCAUCAUUCAAACAAAGUUCAUAAUGUAAAAUGCUUUACUCAGAACACUGGCUUAACACAACAAUUAAGAAUAAAGAGAGUAAACGUUUCAUUGCCUAUCCAGGUGGCAUCAUCCCUCCAACAGAGAACAAUCAAAAACAACAUCAAAGGAGUCAAAUCGGUGGUCCGCAUUCCUUUCAUCCAAUGUAUUUCAUACGCUAUUUGGAGGGCACUGUGCCCAUCAGGCAUUUUGACUGUGCAUAUCAAGUUGAGUGCAUAGAAUCUGAUACAACCUACAUUGGCGAGAUAGACAAAAGACGUGGGACAAGACUAAAAGAGCCAGGGCUACUAAUGCUUAGCUUAACUAAACAGGACCGAAUGAGUCUACCACUGCUGUCCUAAGGGACAUAUAUUUUGAUGGUGCAGUAACCUUUGCUCAUGACUAGCGAUGGGACCCUAGAAAGUUCUUAGAAUCCUGCUUUAUCAGGCGUGAUGCUUCAGCCUGUAAUACAUACCGUGGCCCCCUAUCGGAUGUGUAAGAUUCCCUCUUAGAUAGGCUGAUGUGCUCAUCUUUGGCCUCUGUUGUACUGAUGAUGCCACCCGGAUAGGCGACAAAACGUUUUCGCUCUGUUUUUAUUCGUUGUGUUGAGCGGUGUUUGCAGUUACUGCAAACAGGACGCUACAUUAUGAGGUUGUCACCCGGCUUCUGGAAUAUAUUUUCAAAUAAAGUUGUUGUUUUACAAAGCUCAAUACAUUGCAGAAAUCAUUCUUGUUGCCUAUUGUUUUGGGGGUGCCAUUCUUGCAGUCACAUGA
Long non-coding RNA from Ornithodoros turicata, 2100 nucleotides. RefSeq lists it as uncharacterized. Lineage: Eukaryota; Metazoa; Arthropoda; Arachnida; Ixodida; Argasidae. The record is from RefSeq and is a predicted model, not a curated record. The transcript has 3 exons.